RNAcentral lists this ribosomal RNA (472 nucleotides) under uncultured bacterium. Its description in RNAcentral is "bacterial SSU rRNA". It matches the Rfam family "Bacterial small subunit ribosomal RNA", at positions 28 to 514 of the family's 1533-position model. The record is from RNAcentral.
GACGAACGCUGGCGGCGUGCCUAACACAUGCAAGUCGAACGGAGAUAUGAUUUCGGUUGUAUCUUAGUGGCGAACGGUGAGUAACGCGUGAGCAACCUGACUCUUAGAGGGGGAUAACACUCGGAAACGGGUGCUAAUACCGCAUAAGACCACGACAUGGCAUCAUGACGAGGUCAAAGGAGCAAUCCGCUGAGAGAGGGGCUCGCGUCCCAUUAGAUAGAUGGCGGGGUAACGGCCCACCAUGUCAGCGAUGGGUAGCCGAGCUGAGAGGCUGAUCGGCCACACUGGAACUGAGACACGGUCCAGACUCCUACGGGAGGCAGCAGUGGGGAAUAUUGGGCAAUGGGCGCAAGCCUGACCCAGCAACGCCGCGUGAGGGAAGAAGGCUUUCGGGUUGUAAACCUCUGUCCUUGGUGACGAAAAAAUGACGGUAGCCAAGGAGGAAGCCCCGGCUAACGUACGUAGCCAGCAG